Molecule: long non-coding RNA, 259 nt
Filed under: Salvia miltiorrhiza (redroot sage)
Lineage: Eukaryota; Viridiplantae; Streptophyta; Magnoliopsida; Lamiales; Lamiaceae
Description: long non-coding RNA (SMIL_LNC004200)
Source: RNAcentral
AGAGAGAGAGAGAGAGAAGGGGGAAGGGAGUACCGUGGAGAAGAGAGUACCGUGGAGAAGAGAGAGAAAGAGAGUGGAGAGAGAGAAGAGAAUGAGAGAGGAGAAAGUUGACUGGAGAGAAAUCGAGAGAGUACCUAUAUUUAAAUGAAGGGUAUUUUUGUCUUUUCAAUCAAAAAGUGGACAGUUUUUAUUAUUUUUAUCUUAGUGGACAAUUUUUAUCUUUACAAUAUGAAAGUGGAUAGUUUUAUAUAUUAACUCU